This is a long non-coding RNA of Bicyclus anynana (squinting bush brown), 6562 nucleotides long. RefSeq lists it as uncharacterized. The record is from RefSeq and is a predicted model, not a curated record. The transcript is spliced from 2 exons. Lineage: Eukaryota; Metazoa; Arthropoda; Insecta; Lepidoptera; Nymphalidae.
AAAUGAACGCAGUUGGAAUGAGUCCAUUAAGGCAUAAAUGGAAAUGUUUGCAUCUCACUUUGAAUUUUAAUGCUAAAUUUUCAAUUGUAAUGAGCUAUGUGAAGUACGCUAUUACAUUAUUUAUUAAAUUUAUGUUAAGUGCAUAAUCUUGUGUAUUAUGUCAUCUUUUGGCAAAUAAACUGUUUUUUUUUCCUUUUUAAAGAGCAUCUUUUUAGGAUACAAUAGACGAAAAGCGGAGCAAAGGAUUAAGUAUUUUUUCUGUAAGUCGAGUUUAAAAAAUAAUACGAUGUGUAUUAGGUAGGUAUAUGUAUAAAAGUCACUCACGAUAUGUCGAAAACCGCUUGAGGUACAAAGUUGAAAUUUGGCAGGGAGGUAGUUCUUAGUAGACAUUCGCUAAGAACGGAUUUUGCAAGAGGGUCCAAUUAAGGAGGUCUAAGGGCGGACGAAGUGGCGGGCGUCCGCUAGUUUUUUAUAUUGCAGUGAUUAUUCUAGUAGGUCUAGUCAACGACAUUUUUAUACUAUAGACAUGUUACGAGUACAUGACUACAAAAUCACCGCAAAAAGUGGGCCGAAUUCAGCGACUCCACUGAGCGCACACAUGUACAAUUCUGUGUUUAAUUCUAUUAUAUAUUUAUGUUUAUACAGUUUCUAAAGUUCCUAAACACACAACUCGACAUAGUAUAAGUAUUUUAUUUGUAUAAGUUUAUAUAUUUUGUUUAAAUAACUUUCAAAUAUUAGAUAGAAGUAGGCGUUACUUUGCGGAAGUUCAUCAUGAAUAAUUAUUUAUUUUGCUAUCAUCCGCGAAAAGCCGACGAACCCAUGCGACAACGUCACCCAGGUCCGACAAAAUACUCUCUACGUACGUUUCACCCCGAAACCGGAGCAUCCUCAGACGUUCAAUUGCAAACGUUGCAAUUGCACGUUGUAGAGUCAACAUCUCCUUCAUUAUAUUUAAAUAACUUUCGUUGUUUACUAUUGUUAGAUUUUUAAUUAUUUAAAUAAUUAUAAAUACAUAAGACAACAUAUAAAAACUCCUUCUUCCAGAUAAAUGUUUUAAUCUGUACUGUUUAUUAAUGAUUAUGGUUUUAUUCUGAGGUUGGUAGGGUAUUGUGAUAUAUACUCUAUGAAAAAGAGGCUAACAUGCGAUGAAGUGGCGUGAAGUAAAUUUAAUUAAUCUUGUGUAAUUUUAUUCCAUUGCUUUUAUCAGAAGUGAGAGUACCUACGAACACGAUGUCAUUACCUACAUUAAAGUCGAUCUACAGAAAGAAAAUGUAACGGCAUUUAAAUGAAGUGUGAAUUUGGGAAACAGUGGUUUACAUUACGAGAAAUGCGAUAAAAAUCAUACGUGUGUACAACCAUUAAGUAUGUAUACCACUGACGGCUAUGGGACCACGCCGCACUGGUCCCGGUAAAAGUAUUUAUGCGAUGUCGGUUGUCGAUGCUUACAAUAUCUAACAAGAAUGAAGAAACGUAAACGUAACACACUUAUACCAUGUUGACGAUAUUUAUGAGCAAAACAGUCAAACAGUCCAACAGCACUCAUAAGAGGAUAUUAUUUGAAAAACUGCGAGAGAACAGAGAAGAACGUGUAAAUUAAUAACAAAAUACAAAGAUGCAUGUGUGGUGUUAGCUGCAGAGUUAUAUGAGAUGGAAUCCUGUUGGUUUGACGGAUGAGAAAUACCAAUGAUGUCUAAAUAUAUUAAACUAGGUGUCUGGUGAGUUUUAUUAUUUUGAUUAAACAGCCUCAUAAAUUAUUCAGUUGUGACUAAUAUGAAAUAAAAUUACAAAGAAUAAAUAAUCACUAGGUGAAACUAAGUAUGGUUGAUAGGUUGUCAGUUUGUCUGGCUUAUUGUCAAAACAUUUUUGUUAGAUGACUAUAUCUAGGAAACCAAAAUCAUUUAAGUGAAAAGUACACACACACACACACACACAUACACACUGCUCAAGAAAUUAACGUAUGAAGACAGACCACUCUAGGGUUGUUAGGAUGACUACUAGGAGGGACUACAUUACAUCCGUUGCUGACAUGGGACUAAAAUGAAUUAACUAAAAUAUUGUUUUUUUUUGUGCCUGUAACUUCAAACUAUACAUUUGUUAUAUGUGAGUUUUUAUGACUGAAUAACAUAAAAAUUAAAAAUAUAUGAAGUUUUAUGUAAUGGUUCAAGUAUUAUUUUAGGCCUUGAUGUAGGUACCUGAUAACAAGUUUUGAGACAGCUAUUACAAUAUUUUCAGAUAGGAUUUGCUUAGAUAUAUCAUUAUGUAGAUUACUGUAUGUACUUAAUAUAAAUUUUUUUUAAAUCUUUUAAGAAAUUGGAUUGAUAGAUUUCUUGAAAAAUAAAUUUGUAGUUAUGUUUGAAAACCUAUUUAACUAUUCAAGCGUUGACAACAUGCCUUCAGCCUAUUUAGUAUAGAACAGUUAUUAACAAUCUGCAGCAACACAGUAAAUGAUUCUUAUCCAUGAAUAUUAUUAUAUUCGGCUUAUCUACAAGAGUACUAAGAGAUAUUAUGAUAUUCAUCUUAAUGAAAUCUUAUAAUUAAUUAAAUUGGAGAUUUUUUUUAGGGUGAUAUUAAAAAGUUACUUGUGUGACAAUUGAGUAAUAAAUAAUUAAUUAUAAUAAUAUCAUUGAUCACAAAUUGUCUUAGAGCCCAGUCUGUAUGGACUUCAAGUAAAGAGACACAGAUUGCCAUAAAUAGGUUGUAAAAUAUUUGUCUAAGACAUAUUUUGACAGUUUUGUGGGUGGGUGACGUUGGGCUCUCUUUUCAUUAAUGGUCAUGUGCAGAUGUAUAGAUUCUACAUACAAGUAAAUUAACCAUACUAUUGCUGUUGUUUUAGAUUCAAUCAAUCAGUUUAUUAUUUGCAGAUACACUAGUGUAUUUAAUCCAUGUCUCAUUUGUUUAUUUCUAGCAUUUUAUUAGAUUGCAACAUUUUGUAUAAUUAUGAAAAUUAGUAAUUAUUAUGGGGUUGUGGUUAGAAUUAUAUAUUCGGAUGGUUACAAUGAUAUGUGCAUAAGGUUUUAACUAGGGUAUACUAGUACACUAAAGGUAAAAAAAAAAAAUUAGAAAAUUCCUUGGCCAACAUAUUAAGUGGUAUAGGUUUUGAAUAUAGAUUUGUAUUGGGUCCUUAGGUAGUCAGUACAUUUGUGCAUCUACAAAGUGCACGCCACCGAGUUGUUGGUACCUGCAUGCAACUGAUGGGUGGUCUGCAUCAAGUAUGAAUCAAUAUAGAGACUUAAAUCAUUACAUCAGUAAAAUAAUUAAUGGAUAUAGCCAAAAAAAAAAAAAAAAGAAAUUUAACAGAAUUAAAAAAAAAGAAUAUACUAAAAUUAAUGAAUAGGUAAAACCUCUGAUAGCAAACUAGAGGUAUAUAACAAAGGGGGUGGUCUGGUCUAAGACAGGUUUAUGCUACUAUUAUUACAAAAAAGGGGGUAGUCUGAAGAUAAUUAUACAAUACAUAGUCAAAUAUCAUCUUUUCUUAUCUAGUGAUAACUACUAGGAUUGGAUUACAUACUAAAAUUAUUACAAUCAUAAAUCGCAAUAUUUUCAAGAAGUCUUUAUUAUCAUUAAAAAAAAAAGCAUUUCUUUAAGAGAAAGAGUCUUUUGUCUGAAUUAAAGUAAAUUGAUAGAUUAACACAUGUUUAACAUUUUAUUUCAUUUUAUGUACCGGGUCUAAGGUUCAUUCAAUUAUAGACUGAUUUUCUCUUGGAUGCUAGGUAUGCUAGUUAUGUUAAAUUAAAUUAUUUGUCAAACAAGUAUGAUAUUUAUCUGAACGAUUAAGUGACUGAGCUAUGUGAUACUGUGUGAAAAUAUUUGAUUACAGAUCCGAGAUGCAUGGAUAUUGAUUGAUGAAUAUGGGAUAUAUGAGAUUCUCAUGAUAAUCAUUGGGUUGAACACAGCCCUAUUCGACAGUUGACCCAAAUCACAAAGAUGAGAGAAGUUACACUAUGUAUUGAUAACACACGAUUUAAAUUUAGUAUUUUUAUUUAUGAUAUGAUGAUAUUAUAAUUAUGUAUUAUAUUGAGAGUUAUUAGUUUUGAUAUCAUAUAUACAUAUAUUUUAAAUAUUUGCUCACAUCCAUGAUGUUAUUCAUUAAUUAUGACUUACUGAUGACGAUUUGUGUUUUGGUAAAAUUUUAAUAUAAGGAUAGAUGUAUUACACAGGCCGACACGAUUUUCGUUGUCCAAGAUAUAAUUUUUUUUUUUUCUACUGAUUUUGUAGUGCUGAUUACGAAAUCAGACCUAAUUUUAUCAUACCACAUCAGAUUUUUAGUAAAAUUAAUAUAUUCGCUAGUUUUGAUUUUUCAGUGAAAUUUUCGAGUUUUGGCACUCUUUCUUUGAAUUAAGCAACCUCUCAUGAGAAAUUACUUCAGUUAUAACAACGACACACCUAUUUGUAACGCGUUUCGUGGAAAUAAGCUGUUAUAGUGCCUUUGUUAAAAAAAAUAUAUAUAUAUUUUAGUUAAUGGUUUUUUUUGUUGUUGGAAAACGUCUGAUAAACAUAACGUCUUCUAUAAAGUGUCACAAUAGUCCAGAUAUAUUUUGUUACAUUUGUUGAAACUUUAUGAUUCUAAGCAAAAACUGAAAAAUUUGUGGAAAAUAUGUAUAAUAAAUAUGUAGCUUAUUUUGACUUCAAAAUACAAAUAAAAUCGUGGACUCUGCAGUUUGUACUAAUCGUGUUGAACAAUUAAGGCAGUGGACACUGGACAUACAGCAAAAGACAAUCUCUACCUUUUGGUACUACCUAUGAUAUAGUGAAAGCAAGACAAUCAUACAGAUAUUGUUAUUUUUGCUGUAUGUUAGAAGCUUUUAAAGUAAAAUUUGUUUUCCUUUUUGUAAAAAAAAAAAUUGAUGUGAUAGAGUAAUUGUGCAGGUAUUUUUGUGUUCAAAAUACUAUAAAUUACUGAUAAUUUUUACUGAAAUCAAAACAACGUUCAAAAAGUAUUCAUUUGUCGGCCGGUGUUAUCGAUAAUAUUUUAGAUUGUAUUAUAGUAUAGUAGUGUUAUGACGACUAAUAUACCGUUAUUUGUUUUGUGAAUGAUUAUGGAUAUAUUUGUUGUAUAAUAAUUUCUCUAUUGAUUAUUACACAGCAAAAUAAAAUAAAUAAAUAAAUAUAAAAAGAUUCCAACGAAUUGAUAAACUCCUUUUUUUUGAAGUCGUUUAAAAAUGUAUGUAUAUGUAUUUAUAUCUGAUUUUAUAUUUUGAUUAUCUUCUAUCACAUGUCAUCUGGAAGUCUAACACGAUCAUGAAGUCCUGUAACUAUAUUAGUUCUGAACUUGAUGGUGAGGGGUUCGGUGCAGAUGCAACACAUCAUCUGGAAGUCUAACACGAUCACAAAGUCCUGUAACUUUACUAGUUCUUGACUUGGUGGUGAGGGGUUCGGUGCAGAUGUCACACAUCAUCUGGAAGUCUAACACGAUCACAAAGUCCUGUAACUUUACUAGUUCUUGACUUGGUGGUGAGGGGUUCGGUGCAGAUGUCACACAUCAUCUGGAAGUCUAACACGAUCACAAAGUCCUGUAAUUUUACUAGUUCUGGACUUGGUGGUGAGGGGUUCGGUGCAGAUGUCACACAUCAUCUGGAAGUCUAACACGAUCACAAAGUCCUGUAACUUUACUAGUUCUGGACUGGGUGGUGAGGGGUUCGGUGCAGAUGCCAUGAAUCGAUGAUGACGAAUUUGACAAAUAUAAAUAAUGUUUUGAAAUGAUGAAAAUAGAUAAGUUGAUUGACAAAAGCUUCACAUGAACAUUAUGUUUAUUUAUAAUAUGUAUCACUCUUAUUCUUAUUUAACAUUUUUAUGAUAAAAGUUUAUAGAAGAAAUCAAGAAUUUCAUUAUAGUUUCAUUGGAUUCUUUUAAAUAACUUAUGGGAUGCUGUGUGAUAAUUAAUUAUAAAAUUUUAUUGUUAACAUUGUUCUAUUUAUAGUUGAUAUUAUAGUAAUGUCAUAAUUUCAUGAUAUUCUUGUGUUGUUUGGGGACAAACUCUUAGUAAGGAUGGCCGAAUAUUAGAAGAUAAAGACAUUACAUUUGUAAAUAUUACAUAUCGUCUAUGUACUUAAUGCUUUAAAUUAAUCUACUACUCUGUCUAAGUUAAUUACAAUAUUUAAUAAGUCUCUGUCUAGAGUAAAGCUCCCUCUUGUCAUCUGGAAGCUCAGACAAAUAUUAGAAGAUAAAGACAUUACAUUUGUAAAUAUUACAUAUCGUCUAUGUACUUAAUGCUUUAAAUUAAUCUACUACUCUGUCUAAGUUAAUUACAAUAUUUAAUAAGUCUCUGUCUAGAGUAAAGCUCCCUCUUGUCAUCUGGAAGCUCAGACAAAUAUUAGAAGAUAAAGACAUUACAUUUGUAAAUAUUACAUAUCGUCUAUGUACUUAAUGCUUUAAAUUAAUCUACUACUCUGUCUAAGUUAAUUACAAUAUUUAAUAAGUCUCUGUCUAGAGUAAAGCUCCCUCUUGUCAUCUGGAAGCUCAGACAAAUAUUAGAAGAUAAAGACAUUACAUUUGUAAAUAUUACAUAUCGUCUAUGUACUUAAUGCUUUAAAUUAAUCUACUACUCUGUCUAAGUUAAUUACAA